UACACGGUCCUUAGAUCCUCCAGCCGGGACGCUUGUCCACCAACUUGACCGGUUGGCGAUGGCUGGAGCAUGAGUCAUUGCCGUGUGACAGCAGUAUACCUGAGCGGCAGCCACCGUCGUGCCCCGCCCCGUCCUCGGCCGUCUCUGUGUGCUGACUCAAUAUUCGGCCGAUGGACUCCAGUGGGCGCCAUGUGGGGCCGACACUCGCUGUCGCUCGGACAAU
Molecule: small nucleolar RNA, 223 nt
Organism: Amphibalanus amphitrite
Lineage: Eukaryota; Metazoa; Arthropoda; Thecostraca; Balanomorpha; Balanidae
Product: small nucleolar RNA SNORA53
Exons: 1
Source: RefSeq, a predicted model, not a curated record